Long non-coding RNA from Lolium rigidum, 479 nucleotides. RefSeq lists it as uncharacterized. The transcript is spliced from 3 exons. The record is from RefSeq and is a predicted model, not a curated record. Lineage: Eukaryota; Viridiplantae; Streptophyta; Magnoliopsida; Poales; Poaceae.
CUUAGCUUUCCAGUCCGCUGCUUUUCAUCUGUUGAUUUGCAUAUUUCUAUACUUGUACUUCAUCUCUUCAUUUGCACAAAGGUUUCAACACUUCAAGUUCGUCAUUCUCUACUGUAUGUAAUAUGUGCAUUGCACUGCUCUGUUGCAGGAUAUGGCACCAGAUACUUUCCUGAAAUUUCUGUUCAGAAAUGCAAGCGCAAGAUUGUGACAAAAAACAGGGCGAAGAAGGGAAAGGGAGUUCACGUACCUGUAAAAAACGAGACGGGAAAAUGCCACUGGUACACUUGUUUAUUUUAGGCAGUUGGUGCACUUGAUCUGGAGUUCACUCGGUGAUCUCACUUAAAAGCACUAGCAGUCCGCUGUAGUUCACAUCGCUCUAGCACUUGCAGCUCCAUCUUCAGCGCGGAGACCUCGUUUUGCAGAGAUGCUGCUAGGGGUAAACCACCAGGUUCUGCAGUGUUGUUCUACCGUUGUUACGG